This 205-nucleotide ribosomal RNA is filed under the name uncultured bacterium. Its description in RNAcentral is "partial 16S ribosomal RNA". It matches the Rfam family "Bacterial small subunit ribosomal RNA", at positions 568 to 774 of the family's 1533-position model. The record is from RNAcentral.
AGCGCAGGCGGUUUGAUAAGUCUGAAGUUAAAGGCUGUGGCUCAACCAUAGUUCGCUUUGGAAACUGUCAAACUUGAGUGCAGAAGGGGAGAGUGGAAUUCCAUGUGUAGCGGUGAAAUGCGUAGAUAUAUGGAGGAACACCGGUGGCGAAAGCGGCUCUCUGGUCUGUAACUGACGCUGAGGCUCGAAAGCGUGGGAGCGAACA